AUUAUCUUGACAGAUGAAUGUGCUAGAUUUAGGAUCUAAUUAUACGAUAAUUUCGUAGAUAAUA
RNAcentral lists this transfer RNA (64 nucleotides) under Stygiocaris lancifera. RNAcentral describes it as "tRNA-Leu". The record is from RNAcentral. Lineage: Eukaryota; Metazoa; Arthropoda; Malacostraca; Decapoda; Atyidae.